AUUGAACGCUGGCGGAAUGCUUUACACAUGCAAGUCGAACGACAGCACGGGGGCAGCCCGCGUGGCGAGGGGCGAAGGGGGGGGUAAUACAUCUAAGCUUGCCCUAUCUUCGGGGAUAAGGUAGCGAAAGUGACUCUAGUACCGCGUACGAACUGUUGAUGAAAUCGGAUGACCUUCGGUCCGAUCGCGAUGGUAGCAGCCUAUGUCAGAAUCAGUGGUUGGUUGGGUAAAGGCCUACCAAGCCUACGAUCUGUAGCUGGUCUGAGAGGACGACCAGACACCCUGGGACUGAGAAACGGCCCCGACUCCGACGGGAGGACGCAGCGGGGAAUUUUGGACAAUGCGCGAAAGCCUGAUACAGCACUACCGCCUGAAGGAUGAAGCACUUCGGGUUGUAAACUGAUUUUGUACGGAAGGAAAAGGAUCUGGCUAAUACCUGGGGAUAAUGACGGUACCGUAAGAAUAAGCACCGGCUAACUACGUG
Molecule: ribosomal RNA, 484 nt
Filed under: uncultured bacterium
Lineage: Bacteria
Description: partial 16S ribosomal RNA
Rfam family: Bacterial small subunit ribosomal RNA
Source: RNAcentral